GCCCAGGCUGAGCAGAGAACUGCCACUUCCCGUACUGCAACCGUGUCUGCCCAGCGUGAUGCAGGCAGCAUCUGUAACUUCACCGGGAUAGCCCAUGUCAGAAGUAGGGGACUCGUAACAAGUCUAAAGGAUCAAACUGCAAACUCCUUUCGGAUCUUACAGAAAUUGGGGAAUACAACUCCUUCCUGAUAUUCAGGAGGUCUGACCUGCUUCCACUGUCAACACACAACUGUGAAUACCAGAUGAGGCACCAACUGGUCACUGGAGGACAGGAGUUUAUGGAGGUGUUGCGGUGACACGUUCACAAAGUCUUCGCACUCCACCACCUCGGUAA
This 334-nucleotide long non-coding RNA is filed under the name Columba livia (rock pigeon). Its description in RNAcentral is "partial uncharacterized LOC102084821". Lineage: Eukaryota; Metazoa; Chordata; Aves; Columbiformes; Columbidae. The record is from RNAcentral.